RNAcentral lists this non-coding RNA (79 nucleotides) under Cephalotus follicularis. Lineage: Eukaryota; Viridiplantae; Streptophyta; Magnoliopsida; Oxalidales; Cephalotaceae. The record is from RNAcentral.
GUGUCCUUAAAAUGGAGAGAUGGUUGGCAUCUCCUCUGAUAAGGUUAUCUACAUUUGUGGAUCUUAUAACCCUUUUUUU